RNAcentral lists this ribosomal RNA (253 nucleotides) under uncultured bacterium. RNAcentral's name for it is "partial 16S ribosomal RNA". It matches the Rfam family "Bacterial small subunit ribosomal RNA", at positions 524 to 776 of the family's 1533-position model. The record is from RNAcentral.
UACGUAGGUGGCAAGCGUUAUCCGGAUUUACUGGGUGUAAAGGGCGUGUAGGCGGGACUGCAAGUCAGAUGUGAAAACCAUGGGCUCAACCUGUGGCCUGCAUUUGAAACUGUAGUUCUUGAGUACUGGAGAGGCAGACGGAAUUCCUAGUGUAGCGGUGAAAUGCGUAGAUAUUAGGAGGAACACCAGUGGCGAAGGCGGCUUACUGGACGGCAACUGACGCUGAGGCUCGAAAGCGUGGGGAGCAAACAGG